RNAcentral lists this ribosomal RNA (454 nucleotides) under uncultured bacterium. RNAcentral's name for it is "bacterial SSU rRNA". It matches the Rfam family "Bacterial small subunit ribosomal RNA", at positions 340 to 786 of the family's 1533-position model. The record is from RNAcentral.
UACGGAAGGCAGCAGUGGGGAAUAUUGCACAAUGGGCGAAAGCCUGAUGCAGCUAUGCCGCGUGUAUGAAGAAGGCCUUAGGGUUGUAAAGUACUUUCAUCGGGGAGGAAAAACAAAACUAAUAAUUUUAUUUCUUGACGUUACCCGAAAAAGAAGCACCGGCUAACUCCGUGCCAGCAGCCGCGGUAAUACGGAGGGUGCUAGCGUUAAUCAGAAUUACUGGGCGUAAAGAGCACGUAGGUGGUUUUUUUAAGUCAGAUGUGAAAUCCCUGGGCUUAACCUAGGAACUGCAUUUUGAAACUGAAAUACUAGAGUAUCGUAGAGGGAGGUAGAAUUCUAGGUGUAGCGGUGAAAUGCGUAGAUAUCUGGAGGAAUACCUGUGGCGAAAGCGGCCUCUAAACGAAUACUGACACUGAGGUGCGAAAGCGUGGGGAGCAAACAGGGAUUAGAUACC